AAUAAUACAACUCAUCAUGUAGAGCUUGGAGUUUUAUAAUAGUUAGACGAGGUUAAAAUAAGAUAUCCGGUUAUCUUUUAGGUAAACCGAAUAAGUUGAGUUAUGAUUAAGGUGUUUUAGAAACAUAUUGGUUUCUAAACAAGAAUAUGGUUAAAAGGUCGGAUUUGGGGUUCAAACAAGCACUAAUAGUCCUUCGUCGUAAAAGAAUGACUAAAAUUGACUAAAACGCCCUAGUUGGCUAAUUCGAAUAAACAACCUUUAAAGGUAGUUUUGAAACGAGUUUUAUGAUCAAAUAAAUAAUUGAAAUAAGUGCAAGAAGCGAAAGAUGUAAACUUUCGGUCAAAUAACUCUAUAUGAGUCUUUGCCGUAAAUUAGCAAUCGGACGAGAAAAACUCGGAUUAUAUAGAUCAUCUCAUUAAGUCCACCACAAUUAUAGUUGUGGUGGAAUAUUACUGGAUAAGAAUGUUGUAUAUAACGCUAGAAAUGAAUGAAAGCGACUUUAAGCUUUAAAGUGCUUAAAUACCCUUAACGGGUCAAAAUAAGCACUUGAACGUAAACGGGUUCUAACUAAGUAAGAAACCCAUGAUCUAUGAAUUAUUUGAUAGGAAAUAUUGAAAUUAUGAUUCCAUGAGUUUAUGGAUCAAGUAAACAUGUUUGUGUGAUAAAAUCGCGAACGGGUCAAAAUUUGGUAAAAAUGGUAAUAAGCCGAAGACUUAAAAGUCUUAAAUUUUUGUUAAUCCGGAUGUCGGAUUUUAACUCCAUAUGAUGGAGAAUUAAAUUACGGACGCGUAGGAAAAAGAAUCGUGUAAAACGGAUUAAAAACGAGAGAGUUAUGUCCGUUUCGGUAAGAACUAAUGAAAAAUAGACGUGCAGAGUUGACACGGGCGGGUGACUUUUUGACACGGCCGGGUGGCUGGGCUGUGAAAAAUAUAUGUUAACUGACACGGCCGGGUGGCUGGGCUGUGAAAAAUAUAUGUUAACUGACACGGCCGGGUGACUUUUUGACACGGCCGGGUGAAGGGGCUGAAAACAAAACAAAAAUAAUUUCUUGUUUUGUUACGUUAAGCACGGAACUUGUUUAUACUCGAUUAUUAAAGUGUCAAAACUAAUUCUUUACAUGGUUUUGACCGUAGGUGAAGAUGGGAUAAGCGGUUUGAAAGAUACGAAAGUUUUCGUGCAAAUAAACGGCAAAAUAGGAAAGCUGGAAUGCAGGGGCCACCGUAACUUACGGUGCCACCGUAAGUUACGGUGGAGCUGAAGGCUUUACGGCAGCCCCCUACUGACUUACGGUAGGGGCAUGUCACACCAGGGGCCACCGUAACUUACGGUGCCACCGUAAGUUACGGUGGAGGCCAGUUGGAAAUCCAUGUUUUGAGAUCAAAAGUUUAACGUUCUUUUUGGAUGCCUGAAGACGAUCAAGCUCAUCGAAGGACCGAACACGAUAAAGAUACAUGCUUCCGCACAUUUCCUCGUCGUAAAUUUUUAAACGACAAAUUCGAUCACUUAUGUUGAAUAACUUAUGAUUUGUAAAAGUUUUAAUAAACUCGUAUUUUCAUAGUA
Helianthus annuus (common sunflower) is the source of this 1560-nucleotide long non-coding RNA. RefSeq lists it as uncharacterized. The transcript is spliced from 2 exons. The record is from RefSeq and is a predicted model, not a curated record. NCBI's taxonomy places the organism in Eukaryota, Viridiplantae, Streptophyta, Magnoliopsida, Asterales, Asteraceae.